UACGAAGGGGACUAGCGUUGUUCGGAAUUACUGGGCGUAAAGCGCACGUAGGCGGAUUUGUUAGUCAGGGGUGAAAUCCCGGGGCUCAACCUCGGAACUGCCUUUGAUACUGCAAGUCUCGAGUCCGAUAGAGGUGGGUGGAAUUCCUAGUGUAGAGGUGAAAUUCGUAGAUAUUAGGAAGAACACCGGUGGCGAAGGCGGCCCACUGGAUCGGUACUGACGCUGAGGUGCGAAAGCGUGGGGAGCAAACGGG
This 253-nucleotide ribosomal RNA is filed under the name uncultured bacterium. Its description in RNAcentral is "partial 16S ribosomal RNA". It matches the Rfam family "Bacterial small subunit ribosomal RNA", at positions 524 to 776 of the family's 1533-position model. The record is from RNAcentral.